CCUACGGGAGGCAGCAGUGAGGAAUAUUGGUCAAUGGGCGCGAGCCUGAACCAGCCAAGUAGCGUGAAGGAUGACUGCCCUACGGGUUGUAAACUUCUUUUAUAAAGGAAUAAAGUGAGGCACGUGUGCCUUUUUGUAUGUACUUUAUGAAUAAGGAUCGGCUAACUCCGUGCCAGCAGCCGCGGUAAUACGGAGGAUACGAGCGUUAUCCGGAUUUAUUGGGUUUAAAGGGAGCGUAGAUGGGUUGUUAAGUCAGUUGUUAAAGUUUGCGGCUCAACCGUAAAAUUGCAAUUGAUACUGGCAGCCUUGAGUACAGUUGAGGUAGGCGGAAUUCGUGGUGUAGCGGUGAAAUGCUUAGAUAUCACGAAGAACUCCGAUUGCGAAGGCAGCUUACUAAGCCAUAACUGACACUGAAGCACGAAAGCGUGGGGAUCAAACAGGAUUAGAUACCCCAGUAGUC
RNAcentral lists this ribosomal RNA (460 nucleotides) under uncultured bacterium. Its description in RNAcentral is "partial 16S ribosomal RNA". It matches the Rfam family "Bacterial small subunit ribosomal RNA", at positions 338 to 795 of the family's 1533-position model. The record is from RNAcentral.